Non-coding RNA from Nomascus leucogenys (northern white-cheeked gibbon), 291 nucleotides. It matches the Rfam family "Metazoan signal recognition particle RNA". From Rfam's summary of the family: The signal recognition particle (SRP) is a universally conserved ribonucleoprotein. It is involved in the co-translational targeting of proteins to membranes. NCBI's taxonomy places the organism in Eukaryota, Metazoa, Chordata, Mammalia, Primates, Hylobatidae. The record is from Rfam.
GCUGGGCACAGUGGUGCACACCUGUAGUCCCAACUACUCGGGGGCCUGAGGUGGGAGGAUUGCUUGAGCCCAGGAGUUCCGGGCUGCAGCAUGCCACGGCAAUCAGGUGUCCUCGCUAAGUUUGGUAUCAGUAUGGUGACCUCUGAGGAGGGGGAACCACAAGGUUGCCUAAGGAGGGGUGAACUGACCCAGAGAGAAAAUGAGGCAGGUCAAAACUCCCGUGCAGAUAUGUAGUGGGAUCGCACCUGUGAAUAGCCACAGCACUGGGAACAUAGCAAGACCCUGUCUCUC